Molecule: ribosomal RNA, 460 nt
Filed under: uncultured bacterium
Lineage: Bacteria
Description: partial 16S ribosomal RNA
Rfam family: Bacterial small subunit ribosomal RNA
Source: RNAcentral
CCUACGGGAGGCAGCAGUGAGGAAUAUUGGUCAAUGGGCGCGAGCCUGAACCAGCCAAGCCGCGUGAGGGAUGAAGGUUCUAUGGAUCGUAAACCUCUUUUAUAAGGGAAUAAAUUCUGGGACGUGUCUUAUUUUGUAUGUACCUUAUGAAUAAGGAUCGGCUAACUCCGUGCCAGCAGCCGCGGUAAUACGGAGGAUCCAAGCGUUAUCCGGAUUUAUUGGGUUUAAAGGGUGCGUAGGCGGUCUUUUAAGUUAGCGGUGAAAUCCUGUGGCUCAACCCGGGAAGUGCCUUUGAUACUGGGGGGCUAGAGUAUAGUUGAGGUAGGCGGAAUGCGUGGUGUAGCGGUGAAAUGCUUAGAGAUCACGCAGAACACCGAUUGCGAAGGCAGCUUGCCAAGCUAUGACUGACGCUGAGGCACGAAAGCGUGGGGAGCAAACAGGAUUAGAUACCCUUGUAGUC